UACGUAGGGGGCAAGCGUUUGUCCGGAAUCACUGGGCGUAAAGGGUGCGUAGGCGGGUCUUUAAGUCAGGGGUGAAAUCCUGGAGCUCAACUCCAGAACUGCCUUUGAUACUGAAGAUCUUGAGUUCGGGAGAGGUGAGUGGAACUGCGAGUGUAGAGGUGAAAUUCGUAGAUAUUCGCAAGAACACCAGUGGCGAAGGCGGCUCACUGGCCCGAUACUGACGCUGAGGCACGAAAGCGUGGGGAGCAAACAGG
This 254-nucleotide ribosomal RNA is filed under the name uncultured bacterium. Its description in RNAcentral is "partial 16S ribosomal RNA". It matches the Rfam family "Bacterial small subunit ribosomal RNA", at positions 524 to 776 of the family's 1533-position model. The record is from RNAcentral.